GAAGGGGGGAGGGAGAUCGUGGAAUCUAACGAUAAACCCUCAGAGAAGUUUUUUAGUAAACGAAGUGAAUUGAAAUAUCUUAGUAACUUCAGGAAAAGAAAUCAAAAGAGAUUCUAUGAUUAGCGUGAGUGAAAAUAGAGUAGCCUACUAACAUUAAGUAAAAUGGUUAAAAAACUGUUUGAAUUAAAUGGGGAACCUUCCUCAAAGGCUAAAUAUAAUACAUAAGCGACAGUGAAAAGUAUCAUGAGAGAAAGAUUGUAAUUAGUAGUUUUAUAAGCAGUUCGAGCCAAAUAAAUAAGUGAGAACGUACCUUUUGCAUAAUGGGUCACCUAGUUAACAUUAGAUGCGAGUGAAAGCGUAGGUAAACCAAUCGUUAAAAUAACGAAUAGUGUCUAAAGUUAGACCCGAAGCCUGGUGAUUUUACCAUAAUCAGGAUUAUAAAAGUCCGAACGGGUU
This 456-nucleotide non-coding RNA is filed under the name Colletotrichum chlorophyti. RNAcentral describes it as "Bacterial large subunit ribosomal RNA". It matches the Rfam family "Bacterial large subunit ribosomal RNA", at positions 1 to 784 of the family's 2925-position model. Lineage: Eukaryota; Fungi; Ascomycota; Sordariomycetes; Glomerellales; Glomerellaceae. The record is from Rfam by way of RNAcentral.